This 474-nucleotide ribosomal RNA is filed under the name uncultured bacterium. RNAcentral describes it as "partial 16S ribosomal RNA". It matches the Rfam family "Bacterial small subunit ribosomal RNA", at positions 30 to 523 of the family's 1533-position model. The record is from RNAcentral.
AUUGAACGCUGGCGGCAUGCCUUACACAUGCAAGUCGAACGGACCCUUCGGGGUUAGUGGCGGACAGGUGAGUAACACGUGGGAACGUGCCCUUUGGUUCGGAAUAGCUCCUGGAAACGGGUGGUAAUGCCGAAUGUGCCCUUCGGGGGAAAGAUUUAUCGCCAUGGGAGCGGCCGAUAUCAGAUUAGGUAGUUGGUGGGGUAAAGGCCCACCAAGCCAACGAUCUGUAGCUGGUCUGAGAGGACGACCAGCCACACUGGAACUGAGACACGGUCCAGACUCCUACGGGAGGCAGCAGUGGGGAAUUUUGGACAAUGGGCGAAAGCCUGAUCCAGCCAUUCCGCGUGCAGGAUGAAGGCCCUCGGGUUGUAAACUGCUUUUGUACAGAACGAAAAGGUUUCUACUAAUACUAGGAGCUCAUGACGGUACUGUAAGAAUAAGCACCGGCUAACUACGUGCCAGCCGCCGCGGUAA